UAGCGACCAUAGCAUUAUGGACCCACCUGAUCCCAUGCCGAACUCAGAAGUGAAACGUAAUAGCGCCGAUGGUAGUGUGGGGUUUCCCCAUGUGAGAGUAGGACAUCGCU
Molecule: ribosomal RNA, 110 nt
Filed under: Aliivibrio sifiae
Lineage: Bacteria; Pseudomonadati; Pseudomonadota; Gammaproteobacteria; Vibrionales; Vibrionaceae
Source: RNAcentral